Pecten maximus is the source of this 6681-nucleotide long non-coding RNA. RefSeq lists it as uncharacterized. The record is from RefSeq and is a predicted model, not a curated record. The transcript has 3 exons. Lineage: Eukaryota; Metazoa; Mollusca; Bivalvia; Pectinida; Pectinidae.
UGGAUGUUCUAAAAACAAUUCUUGAGGUCUUUCAGACCCUUAGAGAGUUAUUUCUUUCAAGCAGUUGGGAUCCCCACACCAUAACCAUAUAUAUAGCAUUGUUUGAGAUUGACAAAUAAAACGAAUUGAACAUGAACAUGAACAUUAUUUUGACAUUUGGUCUGAUCCAACCAGGUGAGCGAUACAGGCCCCAUGGGCCUCUUGUUAAAUCAUUUACUGUCAACUAUCAUCAUACAAAGAAUCCUUAUACAUUUACAUGUAUACUAUACCAGAAUUUCAUUUGUGUACAUGUAUCAAACGUAAUACAAAAAGAAUAUUUCAUGAUUUAAAAGUUAGAUAAGAUAAUUGUAGGUAUUGAUUUGUUUGAUAACAAUGUUAUAAAUGUUUUAUGGUUUUAGAAAUAAUGAAAAUCCCAUUCAGGCAAAAUUUUGUUUUGAAAUAUUGAUCUCGCAAGUUUACCUAUAGUAUUGUUAAAAUAAUUACACAUGUAGCUUUUUAAUGCCACUCAAAUUAAGUCCCUUAUCUCGCAUUUUGAAGAUGUAAAUGUUCCUUGCUUAAGACAUAUAUGUGCAUGUACUUGCAUAAUGUUGGUAUUCAAACAAAAUCAAAAGAGGAGAGAAAUCUUGGAUUCUAAACAUGUAAGUAUGUACCCUAGAAAGAAUGAGUGCUUUUGUAAUUUGCUUGCUUGUUUUAAAUUGAACAUAAAUGAUUACAAUGUAUUUUUAAUAAUCAUAUCAAAGUAAUUAAGUUAUGAUGUAUGAUUUAAAUACAUAUUUAGGCUUUUGCCUUGAAAUUUAAGAUGAACUUUUUCUUCAAUAUUCAAAAAAAGAAGAGAGGAAAAAUGAACAGUGUACAUUUUAAAAAUGUGUAUUGAAUCUGCUUGUUUUUUUUUUUUAAUUAAUUUUGAUAUUUUAGAAAAGAAUUAAGGUUUUAAAUAAAAUAAAAAAUUUAAAAUCUGUUUUAGCUUUUACCUGUAAAUAAAAAGAAUUAAAUGUUAAGUGUUACGUUACGCCACAACGAAGUUCAUUGUUUUGUUAUUCUGUUGUUUACUGUAUAAUUAUGAAGAGUUUUUGCAUCAUUCCAUUUUUUUCUGUUUAACUUGUUAAUGCUAUAUACUUUAAGCCCGUCUGUAAAGAAUAUUUUAUAUACAUUUUUUAUCUUUGCCUAAUUUUAAAAAAGCAAUAAAGCCAUAUUGUGUGAGUGAUUAUUUCAGCUGAUGUAUUUUAUCUAUUGCAAAAAAAAAAAAAAGUAUUGAAGUAUAAAAUUGCUUGUCAUAUUGUUAAGACACUUGUACAAGUUAAUUUUAUUUUUUUAAAAUGUUAAUUAAGAUUAUUUUCAAAAGCCAGUGACAUGUGCAUUAUUGUGACUUUCUACAAUACCAAAUGUAUCGGUAUAUGUAGAUAUAUAGCUAUACUAUGGGGUAUAUAUACUAUACAUAGUAUAUACUGUACAAAGCUAUUAAAGCAUAAACAUUUAUAUUAUUGUAUGAUUAAAAAAAUAUUCCUUAUUAAAACCAGGCACAUGUGAGCUUUACUGCAAUACAGCAUUUAUCAUUAAGAGGCAAUACAUCACUUUGUAAAUGUAAUUGAAAUCUUGAAAUUAAUGCAGUCAAACUUUGUCAAUUAAAGUCACUCAUUAGAGUAGGAUGCUUAGACUUCUGUUGGUACUCUCAGCUUUUUUGUAAGUGUUAUAAUAUAUUGGUAGUAUUCUUCAAAUUAUCUAAAUGUUCAUAUUCUCUCAACCAUAGAUGUAUUGAAAUAAUCUUAUAAAUACAUGAUAUGCAAUUAUUAUAGCUUUCUUAUACAGUUUUUGGCAGGUUGAAUGAAAAUCUAUUCUACAAUUUGUCAAAAUCUUAAUGUUCCAUCUAAAAUAGAUGAGAUAAUCUUAUUAUUAUGUCGUACGCAAUAGCUUUCUUAUACAACAUUCAGCACAUUGAAUAUUAAUGAAAAUGAUCCAAAUAUGUUUUGCAAUUAUUAAAGGCAAUAUAAUUAUGAAAAUGAAAGUAAUCCAGAGAGGUUUUCAUAAACAAGAUGAUAUAUGAUAAAGAAAACAUCAUAAUUAUAGGUAUAAGUUCUUGUUGGUAGAUAGCUGUUUUUUAAGAUCUAUACAUUAUGCUAAAGAGUUUUCCAUGUUUCAAAUUUCUGGAAAGUAAAUCUACAUUUCCUGAUUUUGUAGCAACUCUAGAUCUGAAGGAUCAGUGUAAACUUUUAAUAAUUUAUUGCAAACAUCCUGAUCUGUAUAAAAGGUCUCACGAUCUGGUUAUUGCGCUGACCAUUUCAUUUUAGAAACAGUAACCUAUGGGUAUUGUGUGUGACUGUAUCAUUAACAUCUUUGAAGAACAUUUCUAUUUUAAUUAUCAGAUUGAUGUAUUACUCCUGUAAUUGAUUGGUGCAUUUGACGUUUGAUAAAAAUGUUUGAUAGAUUGUAUCUGGAAAUGUAUUUGAAAUUUAGGCAAUAUUUUCAGGGGUUUGGGGUAGGUGGAUUGGGUGUGGGGGUGAUCACAGUAGUGGAGGUAGGGUAUGCAAUAAUGACAGACCCACAAAAAUCAUUAGAACUUUGAUUAUUCCUUUGUCAAUUGUAUGUAGAUAAAAAUUAAUUAAGGAAAAUUUGAAUCAUAGUAAACUUACUGUUUUAUGUUAUUAUUAAAAUUUGAUAAUAUUAAUAAAAUAUUCUGAAGGAAAAUGGAUGGAGAAGAAAGGAUCCAUUUUGUUCCCCCCACCCCCCUAUUUUUUUUUAAUCUUUUGCUAGUUUUUGUCUCACUUCCCUUUGAGAAGCUAUUCUAUGAAAUAUUGCAUUUGUUAUUCAAUGAUACAUUCAAAUAACAUAUCAGCUUGACCAAUGCAUUUGUCAUUUUAUGAAUUCCAAAUCAAGUGGGCCCAAAGAUUUGAUUUGCUGUGAUGUAAUAUGGUCUCAUGUACUUCAUUUUCAAGAUAAUACAUGUUUAAUUGAUGUCUCAACAUAUAUAUAUUGUUAUAUAUAAUAAUGGUAUUACUAUGUAUGUAUAAUAAUCCUUUUUUUUUUUUUCAUCAGAUUUUCUAAAGAUUCCAUGUUAAACGUGAACCCUCCAUGAUGAUAACCGUAAUUUUUAGUUUUAUACACUGCAUUAUCACUUUGCCACCUUAAAAUGGUUAGAAAAUUAUUAUCCUUGGUGAUGUGCAGUAUUGGGCUAUUUAAACUACCUGCAGUCGUCUUUCUCAGAUUUUUUUGGAGCAUACAUGUACACCCAGAGCUACCAUUUCGGCCAACCACUUGUUCACAAAAUUUCGACAGCUGCACACAUUUGCAGAGUUGUUGAAUGGAAUAGUACAGUACAUGUAAUUUCAAGUGAAGUACCUUGUCCAAAAAUACAGCACAUUGCUUGUGUGGAGACUCAAACUAGUUGUUCUUAAUCACCACCAUGCCUCCUAUUAUUUAAGGUCUUGGGAGCAAAUUUAAGGCUUGUUGUAAUGUUUGAUGCUUAGAAGAUGUAUGUUGUGUUAAUAAGUAAAAUCAGAAAACCUUGACAGACUGUACAAGAAGAUUUCUUGUAUUUUUAAAAACAGCAUUUUACCCUUUAUCUUCAUUGUAACUUGUUAUUAUUGAAAAUUAACUACAUGUUUAUGUUAUAGUAGAAGUUUAAAUGUUUAGAAGUAGAUGGUCUGUUUAUUUACAUAAACAAACUGGUAUCUCAAUUUUUGAAAUGUAUCAUUUGAGGCAUAAAUCUAGAUGGACCUGCUGUAGUUAAUACAGGUCUUAAAGUCUUUGUCAAGGCUUGUUUGAAAGCAUUAUAAAAUCAUUAGGUCCGUCCUUAUUUCAUAAACGGAAAACUCUGUUCCAACCAUUUCAGGUGAUCAGGUUGUAUACAAUGGUAACAUGCUUGCCUUUCACCUGCCUGGCCAUGUGGGGUUUCUCGGGGUACUCUGGGUUUCCUACCGCAGUGAGACCCCUUCUGCUCUUCAAUCCAGGCCAACAAGAGUGAUAAAUAUGUUUUAUUAUGUUAUGGUAGAAAUUUAAAAGUUUAGAAGUACGUUUGUUCAUUUACAUGGACAAACUGGUAUCUCAAAUUUUGAUUUUUUUUUUCAAUCCGGGCCAACAAGAAUAAUUAAUAUAUAUAAGUUGAUAUUUACUUGUUUUGAAAUUGUUGUUAAAUAACUAAAGUUUACAAACCAUUUGGACUUGGACCACAAUAAUAAGAAAAAAAACAGCCCUGUGCUCUGAUGGAACUUAGUGGCUGAAUUUGAUUUGAACUCUGGUGGAAGUUCGCCUUAUUGCUGUGGUUCACGACAUCAAAACAAGGUUUGUAACUCUCUUGAUCAUGCCUACCUCAUCAAUUCGAGACAUUCCUUCACCUUUCAUAUCACAGAUGACAUGUAUUUUGUGUGAAUGGUAUACCCCCUCCCUGUAUUUAGCAUUACUGACCAGUCGGACAGGGCAGUUAUCAAGUUUAGAUGUCGCUUAUGUUCUGGCCCUGGUUUAAACAACAUUUCAUAACUCAGAAAAACAUUAUAGAACUUAAGGAAAAUUAUUUUGAUUAACAAUGAUUUUUUCCUUUAAUUCAAUAACGGCUUCUAAAGGAAAAAUUAUAGUAUAAGAAUUUCCUGAAUUUGAAAAUGUUGAUCAAACUUGGGCCUGACUGCAUUUGUUGUGGUGCUUACAAGAUGUUACUUUAUCAUGGUGCUUCUAAGAUAUCCAUUUUAUCUUUACAUAUUUAGGUUUUAAUAUAGUUAACCAAGACGUGCAUGACUGUCAUGUUUCUGUAACCUACUGCAUUAGGUUUCAUUGAUACAUUUUUCAGUAUACAAAUUUCAUUUAGCUGCAGAUGAUUAAAUGUAAACUUGUAGGUAUCUUAUGUUUUUGGUGUCAUUGUUAUUACAUUUUUAAUGGUUCAUAACACUGAAAAGGUCAUUAGGUCUAUAAAUAGUAGAGGUCAUAAGGACUAUAAAAAGUAAAGGUCAUUAGGGCUAUAUAUAGUAAAGUUCAUUAGGGCUAUGGAAAGUAAAGGUCAUUAGGGCUAUAAAUAGUUAAGGUCAUUAGGGCUAUGAAUAGUAAAGGUCAUUAGGGCUAUAAAUAGUAAAGGUCAUUAGGGUUAUAAAUAGUAAAGGUCAUUAGGGCUAUGGAAAGUAAAGGUCAUUAGGGCUAUAAAUAGUUAAGGUCAUUAGGGCUAUGAAUAGUAAAGGUCAUUAGGGCUAUAAAUAGUAAAGGGCAUUAGGGCUAUAAAUAGUAAAGGUCAUUAGGGCUAUAUAUAUAUAGUAAAGGUCAUUAGGGCUAUGGAAAGUAAAGGUUAUUAGGGUUAUGAAGGGUAAAGGUCAUUAGGGCUAUGAAUAGUAUGUAAAUAAUGGAUAUUAAAUUGAUCAACAUCAAACAAUUAAAAUAUUUUUAAAAUAUCUCGGUCCACUUGGAGUAUUUAUAUCCAAACAUAGUUUAAAUAGUACAGACCCACAGCUUUUAGAUAGUUCAAAAUUUUGAAAAAUCAGUAUUUAAAAUACAAGUCCCCUUAGCUUCUUAAGUGUCUAGAGGACAAUCACAGAGGUAACUUAGAACAUUCGUGUACAGAAACGUGUUUUGGAAUGGAUAUUAUUGUCUGGUUGUAUUAGUACUGUAGAAAAUGCAGAGAGACAGAAUGAGGGUGGGACAAAAAUGAUUUGAAAUACACAAAUAUUAAAUUAUGACUGAAUAAAAUACAUAUAUUUUUCAGAAUUAUUGUAAAGAUAUACUCAUGAUUUAACAUGAGUCUCCAUUUCAUUUAAGUUUUAUGAUAAAAGUUUCAUGAAUAACCAAUAAAAUUAAUUUAAGAUCUUUUGAUCACACAUUUAAAUUUUUUUUCUUCAAUUAUUGCAGAAAGCAUUAAUUUCUGUCAUUCCUGAAGUCAUCUUAGCUCUAUAACUGUUGUCACUGUUGUGGGGUAAUAAAAUCUUUAAAUAUUGGACUUAAUCUUCAUCAUUCUAUGACAUCCUGUCAUAUUACAGGAAUUUUUUCUGACUUGCACUGCAGUCUUCUUAGAAAUAAAUUUUAAAUCAUAGAACCCUACCUGUAUUUCUGAUAUAAUUCGACAAACAUACAGCAUGAAAGCUUUGCUAUUUCAUACAAUGUAGAACCUAUAUUAUGUAUCACAGAGUUUAAUCCUGAUGAAAAAAAUAACUUUGACUUGUAGAAUGUUUUUCCCUUAUUGAAUAAUGCUCCUAGCUCCUGAAACUAAAAUUUAUUUGGCUUCCUUUCUUCUCAGUGGCCGUCAACUAGAAAUUUCAUUAUGUUCCCAACAGAAAGAUACUUAGACAGCUUUAAAUGACAAAAAGAUUAAAAUGAUGAAAUAAUUUGUAAAAAUGAAAAAAAAAAAAUGAUUACAAUGAUGACAUAAAUUGUAAAAAAAUUUUUUUUUUUAUUAAAAUGAUUAAACUAUAAAAAUGAAAAAAAAGUGAAUAAAAAGGAUGAAAUGAAUUGCGAUAAAACAUUUUAUUUAUGCAUACAAAUGAAUUAAUAUGGUAUUAUGAGAUGAAUAUAUAAUUAAUAACCUCUGCUUGGUAAAAUAUUAUAUUGUAAUGAGGUUGCUAUUUUUGUGGCUAUUUUUGUGGCUACCUGAUAUCUGUGGAAUAUUGUAAAGGUGUUCUAGUCUUUUAAAUGAAAAAUUAUGUUUUAUGUUUGCCUUUUUAUAAAAAAAAUGUUUUAGUUUGUAUUUUGUAAGAAAAUAAACAUGUUUUAAGUUUA